RNAcentral lists this ribosomal RNA (235 nucleotides) under uncultured bacterium. Its description in RNAcentral is "partial 16S ribosomal RNA". It matches the Rfam family "Bacterial small subunit ribosomal RNA", at positions 524 to 757 of the family's 1533-position model. The record is from RNAcentral.
UACGGGGGGAGCAAGCGUUGUUCGGAUUUACUGGGCGUAAAGGGCGCGUAGGCGGCCUCUGCAAGUCGACUGUGAAAUCUCCGGGCUUAACCCGGAAAGGUCAGCCGAUACUGCAGGGCUAGAGUGCAGAAGGGGCAACUGGAAUUCUCGGUGUAGCGGUGAAAUGCGCAGAUAUCAGGAGGAACACCGAUGGCGAAGGCAGGUCUCUGGGCAUUAACUGACGCUGAGGAACGAA